UUUUAUUUUUAAUGAGGAUUUUGAAAAUCUUCUUCGGAUUAUUUUUUUAUCCAAUAAAAA
RNAcentral lists this transfer RNA (60 nucleotides) under Succinea erythrophana. Its description in RNAcentral is "tRNA-Ser". The record is from RNAcentral. Lineage: Eukaryota; Metazoa; Mollusca; Gastropoda; Stylommatophora; Succineidae.